AUGUGUUAGCAUGUCCAUGAUCAUUACGUAAUUCCAACGUUUCAUCCAUCUAUUUAGAAUUUUAAUAUUCAUUUUAAUUCUAUUUUGUUAAUGCAUACUGACCAUAUUUGUUGUUUUUGUGUUAACAUGUGAAUGAGAGAUCUAAACCAUCCAAGUUACUCAUCUUGUUUUUAUUCAUUAGUUUGUGUUGUUUGAAGUAUCAUGCCACUUGUAUGGUUUAGACAUGGCACAUGAUUUGUAACUUGUAUUUUCUUUUUAUUCCCUUAUGUUGUAUUGUGUGGAUCCAUCCCCCCAUUGUGGGUCAAAUGUCCCCCACCCCAUGAUCAUGUAAUAGCUUAGAUUUAUUGCUUUCUAG
Molecule: long non-coding RNA, 355 nt
Filed under: Lathyrus oleraceus (garden pea)
Lineage: Eukaryota; Viridiplantae; Streptophyta; Magnoliopsida; Fabales; Fabaceae
Description: Pisum sativum (pea) long non-coding RNA (PSAT_LNC021816)
Source: RNAcentral